AUGGCAGGAGCACAUCAUAUGGAGGCCAGAGAGGUUUUGUGGCCACCCCAUGUCAUCCUGGGGUCAGGAAGGGUGGCUGGCUGUCAGCAGGCUCCGGACACAUUGCUGCUCCACGGCUGGGGUUGCUGCAGCACAGUCAGAGGCUGGAAGGCAUGGGCACAACAACCCACACUCACAGUGAUACUAGGUGGCCAUGAAGACUGCAACAUCCACAUCAGUAUCAAUUCAUCGAGUCACAAAGUAAAAAAACCACAACUGACUUUUGAUAAACUUUUGUAAGAAUGAAAUUUCUUCUGCCAGUGAUUAUCUCGAAGGUCCACAUGUAACAACUGAGUUAAACUGACGGAAACGAUCUCUCUGAUUUGUGUGUACCUACUGCUGUUAAAGUCGUGCCACAGCUCAUCAGUGAUCAUUCCUCUUUCUCAGAAAAGAAAAAUAAAUCAAGUCCUUAACCUGGAGAGGGGGAAGGA
Molecule: long non-coding RNA, 470 nt
Filed under: Anser brachyrhynchus (Pink-footed goose)
Lineage: Eukaryota; Metazoa; Chordata; Aves; Anseriformes; Anatidae
Description: lncRNA (ENSABRG00000016941.1)
Source: RNAcentral